AAGGAGUCUAACAUGUGUGCGAGUUUUUGGGUGGCAAACCCAUGAGCGUAAUGAAAGUGAAUGCAGGUGGGAUCCGCAAGGAGCGCCAUCGACCGGCCCUGAUGUUCUCGGAUGGGUCUGCGUAAGAGCAUAUAUGUUGAGACCCGAAAGAUGGUGAACUAUACCUGAAUAGGGCGAAGCCAGAGGAAACUCUGGUGGAGGCUCGCAGCGGUUCUGACGUGCAAAUCGAUCGUCAAAUUUGGGUAUAGGGGCGAAAGACUGAUCGAACCAUCUAGUAGCUGGUUCCUGC
Molecule: unclassified non-coding RNA, 289 nt
Filed under: uncultured fungus
Lineage: Eukaryota; Fungi
Description: partial contains 5.8S rRNA, ITS2 and 28S rRNA
Rfam family: Eukaryotic large subunit ribosomal RNA
Source: RNAcentral